CUUCACCGACCCCAGCAGCAACGGCCGCUGCGGGUCCCGCUCCCGGCCGUAGGUGGCGAGCACGGCCUGGGCCUC
Marchantia polymorpha subsp. polymorpha is the source of this 75-nucleotide non-coding RNA. It matches the Rfam family "ASpks TB sRNA". The record is from Rfam. Lineage: Eukaryota; Viridiplantae; Streptophyta; Marchantiopsida; Marchantiales; Marchantiaceae.